UUUUCUAGAUUUUAAGAGCCUUCAACAAAGACAGGCUGGCAAUCCCUUUAUGAAAAGGGAAGGAAAAUGAGUUAUUCAAAAUUAGGCACAGGAAAAAUUCAGAAUGACAGUAUCAUGCACUUCAAAUGCAGUUUUAAAGGAGUUAAGGGCUCUUUCAUCAUCAAAUCAUAGUUCUGCUUCCCAUGAUGUCUGUAAUUAGAGACUCAGCUCACUCAUUAUGAAUUUAUUCCAAAGGACACAAGUGUUCCAGUUACACCCUCUCUAGAAGAUCAUCUCUUGGGAAUAUGCACCUUUUAGGAGUUAAAUGCUCAAGAUCCAAAGCCAGACUAGAGUGGAAUUCAGCCCUACCACUUCCCAGCUGUGUGAUCUUGGCUAAAUUUCUUGGCCACUCUGGGCCCUAGCCAUCCAUGGGUAAAAUGAGGAAGUUGAUUGUCCUCACCAUAUAGGUGACAGGGAUGAUGUGAGUUGCUAUUCACAACGCACUUAAAGCAGAGCCCAACCCAUGGAAAAUGCUUCAUGAUAGUGCCUGUUCAAUAAAACUUGACAUUCCAGCAGUGGUUUCUCAUCACUUCCUAUGGGCUGCCUUCUGCCUUCUGAAUUUAACCAUGGUGUACAUUAACCCAAGCAACUUGGAGGCCUUAUUCUCAGAGUACCUACUUUUCUUUCCCUUGCCCUAGUUUUUCAGUAGAAAAACAAAGAUCAAGUUAACAGGCCUGGCUUCCUCUAGAAAGGACUCCCAAUGCAUCAAUUCUUUCUUGUUUGUCCUCAGCAGACUGGAAUCAUGGAGGCUGGAGCAAGAGUCCAACUAGGCAUAGGGGUACAAAUAUGUUGGGGAGGGGUCCAGUCGCCACAUCUUUUUUAUUUCCUGGCCCAUGAGGAGGUGGAAGCGAUCAUAGGGCACUGGUUCCUAAGGUUUCUCUGGAGCAGUGCUUCUCAAACAGGGUGUCUGUAGCCCUCGGGGACAUUGGGUCUUGCCUACAGACAGUUUCCGUUGUCAUGUCUUGAAGCGAUAGCGCCACUGGCAUCUAGUGGGUGGGGAUGGGGACACGGCUAUACCUCCUGCCACGCACAGGCCCCCUCAACAAAGCAUGAGUGAGGGGCAGAAUCAGAGCUGCAGCUGCCUGUCUAUGUCACAGCCACAGCAAUGCCAGAUCCAAGCCCCAUCUAUGACCUACACCACAGCUCGAGGAAAGGCUGGAUCCUUAACUCACUGAGCAGAGCCAGGGAUUGAACCUGUGUCCUCAUGGAUAUGUGUUGGGUUCAUUUCCUCUAAGCACAACGGGAGCUCCACCUGCGUUUCUCAGAACUGAGAUCUCAGGCUCU
This 1323-nucleotide long non-coding RNA is filed under the name Sus scrofa (pig). RNAcentral describes it as "lncRNA (ENSSSCG00005018872.1)". Lineage: Eukaryota; Metazoa; Chordata; Mammalia; Artiodactyla; Suidae. The record is from RNAcentral.